Molecule: long non-coding RNA, 3794 nt
Filed under: Homo sapiens (human)
Lineage: Eukaryota; Metazoa; Chordata; Mammalia; Primates; Hominidae
Description: HSALNT0345209
Source: RNAcentral
CGGAAGGGAAGACCACAUUGGUGGUCUCGGAGGUUCCAGGGAAGGUGACCCUUGGAGGGGCAAUGCUCGCCCCACAUGGAAAUUCACACUCCAGCCAAAACGCAGCUGACAGUGAGGAUGUUUUCCGCUGAGAGGAGCCAUAAUUAGACCUAAACAUUAACAGCAAAUCCAGGACCAUCCCUCACCAAGUAGGAGAAUAAGGGAGUCUAGGCUGUAAUCGGGCCUGAUUUCCCAAAGGAACAUAUAUGUUUUCUUAACCUUAUCCAACAGUAUUUUAUGAUUCUAGGCCCUUGAUUGGGGCCUAUACAGGACCAGCUACUCCCAGAAAACGAACAGAAAAGAGAACAUUUUCCGAGUGUGCUCUUUCCUCCUCUUGGCUUCUGUGUCUGUGUUAUUCCCAGGCAGAGGGUAGGAUCCAUCGGAUUUUCCAUAUUCCUAGGCCAGUUUUGAAAGCUCCUCCCCAGAUGCUGAGACCACAUUUCCCGUGCAGGAGGAGGUGGAUGGGGAGAGUUUGCAUCUGGGAGUAUAAUUCAGAUGACUUUUAUCAUCAGUACAUGUCACAAGAAAACAUUUAAAAUGACACUGAAACAAUCAUUGAAAUCAUGGUGCAUGGAGGAAAAAGGUAAAGAAAACAACUUUUGGCUUGUUUUGGCAUGAGACCUUGAUACAAUUUGGGUUCCCCAAAACCAUGUGAAGGGUGGUAAAAUAGAAAUGCUCAAAACUGACUUAAAAAAAUAAACAGGCUUUACAAAAACCCUCUUUUUUCUUAACCCAGCCACUUCUCGACAUGGUCUGCACAUACAGUAGAUACAUUCAUUAUUGUCCAAGGGAAGACAGUAACUGCCUUUCAUUUUAAAGAGCUUGGUGGAGAGGCUGAAGAAAUGUGCUGCAGCUGAAGGAGGCCUCAGCUCCUGAAGCUCUGAAUUUACAGUACACAGUAGCAGACGGCUUGCCCUUUGGAAGGCUCCAUGGAAAGAAGGCUCAUCCCUGACUUGGGGCAACUUGACCGAAGUUUCUACUCUCCAGAAUCUCUUUUCUGUGGUCACCCGACUGGCAAGUGGAAGAUGGAAGCACCAAGGUUCCUGCAAAAGAUAGAUCAAGACCUUUGCUAUCAACCUUUCAGCCCAUCCCAAUGGCCUUGAAUGGCACGUGUCCUGGAAAACCAGGUCUGCUGCCUGUACGCCCGAGCGAAACCUAUGCUCAGCUGGAGAAGAGGACAGCCUUUCAGGGUUCAUGAAUGUUCUCCCUAGAACAGAUGGAAUGGCAGCUACAAUGCCCUUGGGAAUGUGAGGUCCUGGUGGAGUCUCUGGGGAAGUGAAAGAAGCUCCUUUAACUUGACUCCACUCACAGGACAAAGUGCAGGAGACAGAACAGAAUGGAUAGAAGAGGCUUCUCCUUUCUUCUUGCUCUAGAGUGAAGGAGAUGGACAGUUACCUUGAAAUGCUACGGGAAGGAUGAGCAUGGAGAGCUGCCUGUUAUUCUGAGCCAACUUCUGGCAAGAUGCUGGGUGAAUCGACUGCCUAGAAUUGAAGAACUGGCUCUCAAGCAGUUGCUGCUAAAGAAUGCCAGCAAACAAACCACACACAACUGUGGUAAGCCAGGCGGAAAUCCCUCCACCCUCUGGCAUGAGAUGGCAGUCUAGAAAGGACUCUCCAUGAGAUGCCUGGGGCCUGAGGAAGCAGAGGCAUGGACACACUGUUCUACGAUGACUCAGGGCCACCCAUGAGUGGGACAUUCGUGGGGAUGAGAUGGGAGCAGGGAGAAGCAGCAGUUGUAAUGGCCAGCCACGUGGGGACCAGUUCCGUGCCUGGCCUUUCUUUCUCUGGUGGAAGCCAUCUUGUUUUGAUCCUAAGAAAAAUGGGUGUCAUUUUAUCCAGGAAUCUAAGAAUUAUAAUAAUAAAUUAAUAAAGUGAAUGUGAUAAUCAAACUGUGAGGAUACGAACAACAUAAGAUUUAAUGAUCGUUGUCAAAACCAGUCCGUAGGGCUGUGGAACUUUAUCGUACAAUUCGACUUUGAUAUGUGUUUAAAUAUAUUUUCUAAGUUAUCCACAACCCAAAACAGGACCCCUUAGAGGUAAUCUAGAGGAAUCCCUCACGUUACAGACAGAGCCACUGGUUAAGGGUCUAGAGUCACACAGGGAGUUACUGCAGAAUCACUACUGGAACCCUGUGCUCUUUCUGCAGGGAUUCGGAUAUUUUGGUUGGAUUUGCAUUCUUACGUCAAUGUAUGUUCUCCAACUCUGCUCUUACAUAUUGAAAGGCAGGCAGCUAUUUUUAAACACCCUGCCUAUUAGCCUUCGGAACAUAAUAAUAAUGGCAAGCACCCUUUAUUGCUUCACCGAGCUGCAGACACCCUUCUAGGGUGUGAACAGAGCUCAGUAAAGAUAGCAGCCUCAGGUCUGUGUGUUGCUUUGAGCCACGAGCUGGUCUGCAGGCAGCAGCCAUGGGCCGUGCCUGUGUUGGUAUGUUUAAGAACAUUGGCGAAUACAGGAAUUACAUGGACUAGGUUUAGAAAACAAACAGUAACGUACAAAAAGGAAGGUUUGAUAUGGACUGCAAGGACAUAAAGCAGGUGCACAUGCGUGCACUACCAGAAUAGCUACACGGUGGGAAGGAAUUCCAGAACCACGUGAGAAAGAGUUGUUAGGACAAUGCAGUCGUGAAAUACCAUGUUUCCAACCCUAUCACUCUAUUUUAAAAUAGAUAAUAAUUAUAAUUUUUAUUAAUAUCAAACAAAUUAGCUUUGGGACCUAUGGCCCUAACUUAGGGGUCACGGCUGCAGUCCCCUUUCUUGCAGACCUGGCAGGCUGCGCAGAUAACUGCCCCCAGCGUUGGCCAACUCUGGACGCUCUCUUCUCCCAUAAAGACACCAGAGAGUGCUCUUCAGCCCCCGUGUUUCAAAGGGAGAACCCAAACCCACCCUAACUUCUGGCAAGACAAAUCACUUAUUAUAGCUGCUCACCUCUUCACAGAGUACCCACCUCCAGGAAAGGUCACUAAAGGUCCUGCCUGGGCCCCUGGCGUGGCACAGGGUCAUGGUCAGUCUUCUCUGGAGCCUGAGUCAGGGCCUGGUGGGGAAAGGCGGUGUCACUUAUAAGGGAGUGGGGAGGUGAGAGCUGGAAAGGGCUGGAAUGGCACCUUUUUAAAGGAAUAAAGCCCUUUAAAGAUCUUCAACUCAGGGACUUGGUCUCUUUGAGAAACAGCACCAUAAUCUAAUUGGAAUAAAAAAAGGAUCUAUUUAAUUAGAAAGAGACUGUUAGGAACUGGAAGCUGGGGAAAGGAGUAGGGACUCACUGGGCCCUUCUCAGGGAUAACAAAGAAUCAAGGGCCUCAGUAGCAAAUUACAGAGUUUAUUUUGAAAAUUCAAAUAAAACCACAAAAAUUCAAAUAAAAACACAUUCUAGACUAUAUCUUUGUAAGCUUUGGGGGACAAACCUCAAAGAGUCCUCCCAAAGGAAAACGCACCAGCUAAGCCAGGUGCCUCCAGGCUCGUAUAAAGGGGAAGGUGAGGUCAGGAGGCCAACAGCCAUUUUUUAGAAGAAUGACACCGCAAGACGUUCCUGGUCUACUAUUUCGCAUGAGGAAAACACGCUUUGGCUUCUGGUGGCUCAAUUGAGAUAAAAGCAGAGAGAGGUACAAUAAAAGGAAUUCAUAACAAACAUUAUGAACACCUGCUUGGAUUAAAAAGUUGACGGUUUCCUGAAACGGGCUCUGCUAAAAGGGACUUCCUGGAGAAAUCAGAUGCCUCUGGAAUGGAAGACGUCCAGGAAAGUUGGGAUGGCUGAACAACAGGU